GGGACUUUUGGGCUAGUUGCCCAAAGGACUCCAGGUUUUCCGACACUUGGACUUCUGGCACUCGACACUUGGACGACCGGUUCGCGACAGGAGGACAUCUGUCUAGCGACGUUAGGACUACUGGUUCCCGACGUUUGGGCGCGACAAUCAAUGUUGCUGAACCCAGCAAGUCCUUUACGAGAUUACGACAAGUGAACUCCCGGGCCAGCGACGUUUGGACUCUUUUUCUUUCGUGUUGUUUACGAAUUAGUCGAGAAUUUUGUGAAAUCGCAAGAAUGUCUGGCCAGCGAAGGCCUGGAGUUCGUGGACGGCAAGCAGUUGUUUAAGGGGCUUCCUUGCCUGUGUUAUUUUUUAAGCCUUGUGUUAUUUUUUAAGUUAUUAUUAUUUUUUCCUUAUGUCCUGCCGAAGUGUAACCAAGCACUGUUCAAAUUUACGUUUCAUCGUGAUUGCCAUAUGUGAAUCUACCCAGAAAAAUUGUACAACCGUGAACGAAGAAUUUUGUAUUUAUGUUGUUUAAUACAUUAACAUUUGAACUACAA
Molecule: long non-coding RNA, 539 nt
Organism: Daphnia magna
Lineage: Eukaryota; Metazoa; Arthropoda; Branchiopoda; Diplostraca; Daphniidae
Exons: 2
Source: RefSeq, a predicted model, not a curated record